RNAcentral lists this ribosomal RNA (405 nucleotides) under uncultured bacterium. RNAcentral describes it as "partial 16S ribosomal RNA". It matches the Rfam family "Bacterial small subunit ribosomal RNA", at positions 28 to 526 of the family's 1533-position model. The record is from RNAcentral.
GACGAACGCUGGCGGCGUGCCUAAUACAUGCAAGUCGACAACAGCGGCGGACGGGUGAGUAACGCGUGAGUAACUGCCCCCCUCUCUGGGAUAACAGUUGGAAACGGCUGCUAAUACCGGAUAGUGGGGGAUGACUCGCGUCCUAUCAGCUUGUUGGUGGGGUAGUGGCCUACCAAGGCGACGACGGGUAGCCGGCCUGAGAGGGCGACCGGCCACAUUGGGCUGAGAUACGGCCCAAACGCCUACGGGAGGCAGCAGUGGGGAAUAUUGCGCAAUGGGGGAAACCCUGAUGCAGCAACGCCGCGUGCGGGAUGACGGCCUUCGGGUUGUAAACCGCUUUCAGCCAUGACGCGGUAGUGGCAGAAGAAGCACCGGCUAACUACGUGCCAGCAGCCGCGGUAAUAC